Molecule: long non-coding RNA, 251 nt
Filed under: Elaeis guineensis (African oil palm)
Lineage: Eukaryota; Viridiplantae; Streptophyta; Magnoliopsida; Arecales; Arecaceae
Description: long non-coding RNA (EGUI_LNC038799)
Source: RNAcentral
GUUCUAAAGACUUCAUUAUAAUACAAGAGUUCUAAUAAGAAAUAUGUACACAUUGUGAUGAAUAUGCCAAAUAACUUUUAUUAAUUCAUAAUUCAUAUAUAAAUUAUAAAGAGCAUAAUUUUUACUUGGACAUAUUUUCUAAUAUCCAUCUUCCAUUUAAGUUCAACGAACUCUUUGAUUUCGAAGACUUUAGCAAAUGAGUCAGCCAAGUUCUCCUUUUUCGUUGAUCUUCUGAAGGUCGAUAUCACCUC